This 253-nucleotide ribosomal RNA is filed under the name uncultured bacterium. RNAcentral describes it as "partial 16S ribosomal RNA". It matches the Rfam family "Bacterial small subunit ribosomal RNA", at positions 524 to 776 of the family's 1533-position model. The record is from RNAcentral.
UACGUAGGGUGCAAGCGUUGUCCGGAAUUAUUGGGCGUAAAGAGCUCGUAGGCGGUCUGUUGCGUCUGCUGUGAAAACUCAGGGCUUAACCCUGAGCUUGCAGUGGGUACGGGCAGACUAGAGUGCGGUAGGGGAGACUGGAAUUCCUGGUGUAGCGGUGGAAUGCGCAGAUAUCAGGAGGAACACCGGUGGCGAAGGCGGGUCUCUGGGCCGUAACUGACGCUGAGGAGCGAAAGCAUGGGGAGCGAACAGG